GGAUGUGGCACAGUGGUAGAGUGCUUGCCUAACAUGCACGAGGCCCUGAAUUUGAUCCCCAGAACCA
RNAcentral lists this transfer RNA (67 nucleotides) under Marmota monax (woodchuck). RNAcentral's name for it is "tRNA.Val". The record is from RNAcentral. Lineage: Eukaryota; Metazoa; Chordata; Mammalia; Rodentia; Sciuridae.